RNAcentral lists this unclassified non-coding RNA (247 nucleotides) under rhizosphere metagenome. RNAcentral describes it as "partial ribosomal RNA internal transcribed spacer region". The record is from RNAcentral.
GUAGGUGAACCUGCGGAAGGAUCAUUAUUGAAUGAACAUGGAGUCGGUUGUCGCUGGCCCCUUUACCGGGGCAUGUGCACGCCUUCUCUAUUCAUCCACACACACCUGUGAACUUGUGAGACGGAUAGUAGUCCCCUAGGGGGCGAGGUCCGUCUGCUAAUACAUAAACUCUAAUAAUAUAAAUUCGAAUGUCAUUUGAUGUAACGCAUCUAUAGACUAAGUUUCAACAACGGAUCUCUUGGCUCUC